Molecule: long non-coding RNA, 207 nt
Filed under: Musa acuminata (dwarf banana)
Lineage: Eukaryota; Viridiplantae; Streptophyta; Magnoliopsida; Zingiberales; Musaceae
Description: long non-coding RNA (MACU_LNC010810)
Source: RNAcentral
UGUGAACCAAGAAAACAUAAAAAAAACUUAGAACCGAUGGAUGUUUUUUUUUUGUCUUGUAAUGAUAGUGGAAGUUAUAAAUCCUUAGGUGUAAAGACAUUAAAAAAAAAAAUCUGUAGAUAAAAACCAACCUAAUCUUUCAUUGUCUAAUUUAAUCUGUCAGAUCUCAAAAAGAGCCUUAGAUCGAUCUGAAAAAUAUAAUUAUUU